Molecule: ribosomal RNA, 261 nt
Filed under: uncultured prokaryote
Description: partial 16S ribosomal RNA
Rfam family: Bacterial small subunit ribosomal RNA
Source: RNAcentral
UACGGAGGAUGCGAGCGUUAUCCGGAUUUAUUGGGUUUAAAGGGUGCGUAGGCGGGUCGAUAAGUCAGCGGUGAAAACCCAUGGCUCAACCAUGGAAUUGCCGUUGAAACUGUUGGUCUUGAAUAUGGUCAGGGUAGGCGGAAUGCGUAAUGUAGCGGUGAAAUGCUUAGAUAUUACGCAGAACACCUAUUGCGAAGGCAGCUUGCUGGGCCAGUAUUGACGCUGAGGCACGAAAGCGUGGGGAGCGAACAGGAUUAGAUA